This is a long non-coding RNA of Limanda limanda (common dab), 1332 nucleotides long. RefSeq lists it as uncharacterized. The transcript has 3 exons. Lineage: Eukaryota; Metazoa; Chordata; Actinopteri; Pleuronectiformes; Pleuronectidae. The record is from RefSeq and is a predicted model, not a curated record.
UCGGAUGAAGUCACGGGGAGAGGCCUCAUCCACAAAUAUUUCUCACCGAGCUGAGGGAAGUUCCUCCUGCAACUAUACAGCCACAGCCACAGAUACUUUUUCAAAAGACCUCACGCUUUCCUGUGGCGAACGUAUACUCAAAUACAAUUAAGAUUCCGAUCUUACAAAGCUAUGAAGACUUUCAAGAAGCCAUGGAUUUUGGAAUACAAAAUGCCCCUGGGUUUGUGCUUCCUUAAAGCCCAAACCGUGGUUCACCGAAGUUAAUGUUUAACUAUUUGUAACCCAUAUGGAUACCAGACCCAUAUAUAUCAUUUAGAGAGAGUUUACCGUGCCCCACCACAAGGUGGCGCGUUAGCCCUGCAUCCAUGGUCACGACCACACAGCGUGUCCUCUACCUGAGACUCACUCGAGACAUUGACCGAGAGAGCUGCCCGUGCAGUGAGCUGACCAACCUGGGAGAGAGCUUUGUGCGUUUGUACGAGAGAGAGAGAGAGCGGAGCUGCUUCAGCCGUGUAGGCCUAAGCCUCUGUUGGACUCCGAUUGUUUUUUUUUAUAGAUUGAUAAGAAUUCUGAACCCUUGGUGGUUCAGUGGCGAGCCAGGCGAUUGACAGCGGACGGAGAUCGGGAUCCACUCCAGACAUCUCACUUUCCUUUGAUACAGAAUCAGAUAAGAACGUUCACCAUAAAACCUACCCGGGUAGUAGAACAAACACAGGGUUGAAACCCCAUCUUCUGUUAUAGAAGAAAGAACACUUUUCUUUGAACUUUGUUUUAUUAUUUUAUUUUAUUGAAAGAGCUCUAUUGUUGUUUUUGUUCCCAAUGCUAUGCACUGUUAAAUAAUAAUUGUUUGUAAGGCAAUAAAUGAUCACUGUUCAAUUUCCAGUCAGAGUCCGACUUCCUGAACCUAGAGGAAUGGGAGUUGCCUUCUUCCAUUAGGGUUAAAGGUGCUACAUAUUAUAUUCAAAUGCUGCAAAUGUGCCACUUAUGUUCUGUCCAGUGAAGCAAUGCAGACAUGUUCAUAUCAGUCUUAGUUUUUAGCCUGCAAUUUGUUAGUUAUCAAAGUUUCAAGCCAUUUCAUUAAACCAGGCACAUUCAGGUUGGGAGAAAGAAAUAAGAGAUAUUUAAUUUUUUUCGUAUGGGUAGAAAAUCGAUGUUUAAAUUUUCAUUUCAUUCUUUUUCUCCUGUCCAUGAGUAAUUUUUUGAAAGCUGAUUGCAGGACGUGUUGGUAAAAUAAAAGUUUUUCCCGGCAGAGAUGUCAGCACUGAAGGCAUUUUAAGUUCAUAGGAGGGGACCACAUUUUGAGUGUACUGUUACACUGUUCAAUGUCUUGAA